UACGUAGGGUGCAAACGUUGUUCGGAAUUACUGGGCGUAAAGCGCGUGUAGGCUGCUCUGUGUGUCGGAUGUGAAAGCCCCGGGCUCAACCUGGGAAGUGCACUCGAAACUACAGAGCUGGAGUCUCGGAGAGGAUCGCGGAAUUCUCGGUGUAGAGGUGAAAUUCGUAGAUAUCGAGAGGAACACCAAUAGCGAAGGCAGCUCGCUGGGACGGUAUUGACGCUAAGGCGCGAAAACGUGGGGAGCAAACAGG
RNAcentral lists this ribosomal RNA (253 nucleotides) under uncultured bacterium. Its description in RNAcentral is "partial 16S ribosomal RNA". It matches the Rfam family "Bacterial small subunit ribosomal RNA", at positions 524 to 776 of the family's 1533-position model. The record is from RNAcentral.